Brienomyrus brachyistius is the source of this 1505-nucleotide long non-coding RNA. RefSeq lists it as uncharacterized. The transcript is spliced from 3 exons. The record is from RefSeq and is a predicted model, not a curated record. NCBI's taxonomy places the organism in Eukaryota, Metazoa, Chordata, Actinopteri, Osteoglossiformes, Mormyridae.
CGGUACCCGUCUCUCGCAACGAAUAAGUCAAUAAUCCCGUAUAUGCCACAUAUUAUUUAGGAAUAUGUAUUCUAUUAAUAUGUAAUAUGUAAGUAUAUGUAUUAUAUCGCCCAAAUAACCUGAACAAGGUCACUCGCGAGUAAUAGUUUAUUUUUUCCUCAUGCAGGAAUCUGAUUAGAUUAAAUAUACGAGAAUCUCUGAAGCAUGCUAUCUCCGCAUUUUCAGUCACUGAGGAAUUUCAACAGAGUCGACGUAUUUUUACAUGGGAAUCUGAAACGAAAGGUGAUUAUGUCGUCUUGCGAAAAAUACUGUUACACUGAACAAGUAACAAACGCAGUACCACAAAAUAACUCAAACAAUGGUAGAAAAGAAGAUACGGAUACAAGAGAAAUGCAAUUGAACGAGAAUGAAAGACAAAUUGUGCUCCUUCACCAAAUGGCAUGCGAGGCUGAGGAGCAAAUGUACAUAGAUCCGGCCACAGGAUACAAAGUGUUCACAAGGUUCGCUCACCUUCAGAGGGGAAAGUGCUGUGGAAGUGCAUGCAGACACGUAAGGAUCGUGUCCUUACGGCCAAGUGAACGUGAAAGACCCAGCUAAGAAGAAGAAAUUCAAUUCGGAGUUUUAUGUGUAGAAGUUAGUGCAAUGUACACCUCAUUGCAUACUGUCCAGUCACUGAAAUUAACUUCUUUUACUGUCACACGCAGGGUGCCGUGUGACUUUAGGGCACGCGAUGUACAGCGACAGUGUGUGAUCUUUUUAUAUACGCGCUCAAUCAAAAACAGAAUGAGAAAUCUCGCCUGAAAAAAACUGCUCUUUAUUGAAUUAAUUGUCAUCCUUACUUUCUUUUUACUGCACCGAUCGCAUUUUAUUAGACCGCGAACCACAUCUGCAGCAAUAACACCUAUCUGUAUUGACAUGUCGGAGGACCAGUGCAUGAUCCUGCUGGCUUCGUAUGAGGUAGCUAAGCCGCAAAAGGGAGAAGGAGACGUCGGAUGCCGCCAAAAGAUUAUAUUCCAAAGACGGAGGUCAGAAACAGUGAAUGUCAUGGGUCAGAUUCGGGCUGCUGGCUCUUCAAAGGAAAAGAGAAUGCAUUGUAUUUGUAUGGCAUACAAUGGCAGGGCUUCCUGAGAGGGCAGACCCCAUUUACCUAUCCUUUUCCACUGACAUUUUCCCGUUAUUGUUGUGGUUUGCAGGUAACACCAUCCUCGCUGCUGCUUCUGUAAUGAAUGAGUACAGAAUGGGUGUGGACAGUUAUGCUGUUAUUGUUCAUUUGUCAAGCAGGGGCCUGCUAUUCGCAAAGCAGCAUUUCUCGUUUUUCUGUAUGACUUGUUAGAUUUAAUGUGCACCAAUUAGAAUGGACUUUAUCUUUGUUCACUUGCGUUUAGCCCAGACGACCUUAAAUCUGACAAGUGAUCCGGCUAAGCAUGAAAUCCUGCUCAGACCCUAGGACUUCUGGCUACAUAUAAACUGUAUUGCUGUCGAUAUUAAAAUGUUCGGCCCCUGUU